AGAGUUUGAUCCUGGCUCAGAACGAACGCUGGCGGCAGGCUUAACACAUGCAAGUCGAACGCAUCCUUCGGGGUGAGUGGCAGACGGGUGAGUAACGCGUGGGAACGUGCCCUUCAGUUCGGGAUAACCCAGGGAAACUUGGGCUAAUACCGGAUACGUGCGAGAGCAGAAAGAUUUAUCGCUGAAGGAUCGGCCCGCGUCUGAUUAGCUGGUUGGUGAGGUAAUGGCUCACCAAGGCGACGAUCAGUAGCUGGUCUGAGAGGAUGAUCAGCCACAUUGGGACUGAGACACGGCCCAAACUCCUACGGGAGGCAGCAGUGGGGAAUAUUGGACAAUGGGCGCAAGCCUGAUCCAGCCAUGCCGCGUGAGUGAUGAAGGCCUUAGGGUUGUAAAGCUCUUUCGUCCGGGACGAUAAUGACGGUACCGGAAGAAGAAGCCCCGGCUAACUUCGUGCCAGCAGCCGCGGUAAUACGAAGGGGGCUAGCGUUGUUCGGAAUCACUGGGCGUAAAGGGCGCGUAGGCGGCUUUAUAAGUCGGGGGUGAAAGCCUGUGGCUCAACCACAGAAUUGCCUUCGAUACUGUAGAGCUUGAGACCGGAAGAGGUAAGUGGAACUGCGAGUGUAGAGGUGAAAUUCGUAGAUAUUCGCAAGAACACCAGUGGCGAAGGCGGCUUACUGGUCCGGUUCUGACGCUGAGGCGCGAAAGCGUGGGGAGCAAACAGGAUUAGAUACCCCCGUAGUCC
Molecule: ribosomal RNA, 742 nt
Filed under: uncultured Hyphomicrobiales bacterium
Lineage: Bacteria; Pseudomonadati; Pseudomonadota; Alphaproteobacteria; Hyphomicrobiales
Description: bacterial SSU rRNA
Rfam family: Bacterial small subunit ribosomal RNA
Source: RNAcentral